AAGUCUGACGCGAGCACGCCGCGUGAGCGAUGAAGGCCUUCGGGUCGUAAAGCUCUGUUGUUAGGGAAGAACAAGUACCGGAGUAACUGCUCGUACCUUGACGGUACCUAACCAGAAAGCCACGGCUAACUACCUGCCAGCAGCCGCGGUAAUACCUAAGUGGCAAGCGUUUUCCGGAAUUAUUGGGCGUAAAGCGCGCGCAGGCGGUUUCUUAAGUCUGAUGUGAAAGCCCACGGCUCAACCGUGGAAGGUCAUUGGAAACUGGGGAACUUGAGUGCAGAAAAAGAAAGCGGAAUUCCACGUGUAGCGGUGAAAUGCGUAAAGAUGUGGAGGAACACCAGUGGCGAAGGCGGCUUUCUGGUCUGUAACUGACGCUGAAGCGCGAAAGC
Molecule: ribosomal RNA, 389 nt
Filed under: uncultured bacterium
Lineage: Bacteria
Description: bacterial SSU rRNA
Rfam family: Bacterial small subunit ribosomal RNA
Source: RNAcentral